This 253-nucleotide ribosomal RNA is filed under the name uncultured bacterium. RNAcentral describes it as "partial 16S ribosomal RNA". It matches the Rfam family "Bacterial small subunit ribosomal RNA", at positions 524 to 776 of the family's 1533-position model. The record is from RNAcentral.
UACAGAGGGUGCAAGCGUUGUUCGGAAUUAUUGGGCGUAAAGGGCGCGUAGGCGGUGCCACAAGUCACCUGUGAAAUCUCCGGGCUUAACUCGGAGCCUGCAGGCGAAACUGUGGUGCUGGAGUGUGGGAGAGGUGAGUGGAAUUCCCAGUGUAGAGGUGAAAUUCGUAGAUAUUGGGAAGAACACCGGUGGCGAAGGCGGCUCACUGGCUCGUAACUGACGCUCAUGCACGACAGCGUGGGGAUCAAACAGG